CCUACGGGAGGCAGCAGUGGGGAAUUGUUCGCAAUGGGCGAAAGCCUGACGACGCAACGCCGCGUGGAGGAUGAAGACCUUCGGGUCGUAAACUCCUUUCGAUCGAGACGAAUGGCCUCCGGGUAAAUACUCCGGAGGAGUGACGGUACCGAGAGAAGAAGCCCCGGCUAACUCCGUGCCAGCAGCCGCGGUAAUACGGGGGGGGUCAAGCGUUGUUCGGAAUUACUGGGCGUAAAGGGCUCGUAGGCGGCCAACUAAGUCAGACGUGAAAUCCCUCGGCUUAACCGGGGAACUGCGUCUGAUACUGGAUGGCUUGAGUUCGGGAGAGGGAUGCGGAAUUCCAGGUGUAGCGGUGAAAUGCGUAGAUAUCUGGAGGAACACCGGUGGCGAAGGCGGCAUCCUGGACCGACACUGACGCUGAGGAGCGAAAGCCAGGGGAGCAAACGGGAUUAGAUACCCCGGGUAGUCCUGGCCCUAAACGAUGAAUGCUUGGUGUGGCGGGUAUCGAUCCCUGCCGUGCCGAAGCUAACGCAUUAAGCAUUCCGCCUGGGGAGUACGGUCGCAAGGCUGAAACUCAAGGAAUUGACGGCUGNGAGNGCGAGCGACGACGAGGGAGAGG
RNAcentral lists this ribosomal RNA (619 nucleotides) under uncultured bacterium. RNAcentral describes it as "bacterial SSU rRNA". It matches the Rfam family "Bacterial small subunit ribosomal RNA", at positions 338 to 946 of the family's 1533-position model. The record is from RNAcentral.